This is a long non-coding RNA of Herpailurus yagouaroundi (jaguarundi), 787 nucleotides long. RefSeq lists it as uncharacterized. NCBI's taxonomy places the organism in Eukaryota, Metazoa, Chordata, Mammalia, Carnivora, Felidae. The record is from RefSeq and is a predicted model, not a curated record. The transcript has 2 exons.
CCCUUCCCCCCCCACCCCUCCAGCCAGCCCCGGCCGACCCCCGCCGCGGCGCGUGUGCGUGCGCGCGCGGGGAGAGACUGCAGAGGCCGGGGACUCGUGCUGAAGGAGAGAGGCAACAAAAAAUAAAAAAAGGAACAGAUGACUUCAUUCCCGGGAAGGCUCCGUCCUACGUGGACCAAUUUCCUGGGGACUGUGGUGGAACAGCUCCGCUGCCGUUGGAAGCACUUAAAACUAAACCAGAAAAAAGACCAGAAAAUUCUUCAGCAUUGCCUGAACCCAGCGAGGGCAGAUGAUCAACCAGCGCUCCCCCAGGCCCAGGAUCGCCUCUCCAGGCCGUCUGGAGUCUAAAGCGACAAGCCAGUUCCCCACUAAGACCUGUGGGUCUGGGGCGCCACAGCAAGGUAAAGUUAUCUUCAGCUCUGUCCCAGCGUCCACCAGUUUGGAGCUGCAGGAGUCCUCCCUUGAGCGCAUGAAUCAGAAGUCGGGCUCCCAGAAAAGAGAAUACCCCACCCCCAGUCCUUCCCCAGUCCUUUGCUGCCAGCGCUGUGAUAGGGGAAGGCGGGACCGCCCUCCACUCCUCCCCAUGGGCCGGCCUUCCAAGCAAAACUCAUCUCUGGGAGCAGGUUUAGAGUUUAGCUGAUGUGAAAGUCCUGCCCCUGGGCAGUGUUUGAAUAGGACUGAAACGACAGGUGACAGCCAGCGCCGUCCAGAACUAGGAGGACGUCGGAGAUGAUGCAGACCGACCACUCCUGCUUCCCUAUCUUACAGGUGGGCAAACUGAGGCCCA